Molecule: small RNA, 1729 nt
Filed under: Histoplasma capsulatum
Lineage: Eukaryota; Fungi; Ascomycota; Eurotiomycetes; Onygenales; Ajellomycetaceae
Also listed under: 1 other name
Description: hypothetical RNA
Source: RNAcentral
GCAGCGCGAUUACAACCCAUACCAAACAAGGAAAAGAUAUAGUUCUCAUACCCGCUUUGGCGUGUUCCUGAGCGAUGAUUAAGAACAACAACAACAGGACCUCGAGUAGAAUCAAUGCAAGCCCUUGACUUAAUAAACCGCAAUAGUCCAUGCCCUUUCUCGACUUGCGCCGCGCUGUCAUAACUAAUCUUUCGAUCGAGGCGGUCCUCGCAUAUUCCUACUUACCCGUUGCGGCGCACGGGUAAAUUGUCCGGAUUCUGCUCUGUUCGAUAUAUUGGGAGUGGAGCCACCAUUUCCAGGACCUUGGGCGCGUGUAUGGGCAAGAUGUUGCUGUGGACCCCAUUUAUCGUCUGCCAGAGCUGCUGCGACUAGAUUUCUCGAAGUUGGUUCACGGGCACUCCGACUGCCAUCUCCGAGGAUCACAGCAGGUACGGCCGGAGGGAAAGGUGGUUGAUUUGCUCGCUUACGCUUGUGCCGACGCUUUAAAUAAAUCAAGAGGAGAGCAAAAACGGUGAACCCAACCGCUAGUGCGAUUAUCAUCACCACCCAUCUCCAGUGGGAGGAAAACCUAUCGGAGUUUAGUGGACGAAGGCUUGAAGUUCUAUUUCGAGGUGCCUCCCAUGGUUGUCCAGCGCAACUUGGGUUGAGUGAAAGAAUGAUGGGAAGCAAUGAGCGCAACUUCGACAUACCAACUUGAUGGGGCUUCAUGAGUGACUGUUGAAGCUGUUCCAGUCCUAGGAUGGGAUUCCGGAACAUUGGAUGUGGCGGUGGUUGUAGCCGGAUUGCCUGAUGCGCAGAACUGUGCAUACCAUUUCUGCAGGGUAAUUAGAUCCGCCGGCGGACAUACUGCGUCGCAGACUCCAUUGGGAGAGCUGUGGAGGGCCCGCAGAAGAGUCGAUUGGCAAAAACACGAGCUAUAAGUGGCUUGGUUUGUUACAGGUGCCGCUGGAGGGAUGCAAUUCGCCUGCGCCUUGUGAAGAAGUGGACAUGCAACAGCGCACCCAGGAAAGGCUGCUGAGCCGGUAGUCGGUAUGAGAGAUUGACAUACAACUGACGUAAAAGCGGCAGUGGAGACGAAGAGGAACCUUCUCAUCACGGCGUACUUCCAGCUUCUUUUUAGAGAACGCAAUACGCGGAUAGCAUUGGAGGAAAAAUGAGUAGUUAGUUCAUUGCAUCAAUAUUGGACUUCCUUGACCAUAUUGUUAGUGUCAUCGUUUUCCGCAAAUCCCCGGCGAUAUGUUGUGGAGGUCUCUAGGCAAGUGCAUCACCCCCUGUAGGUGGCAGUGAGCAGGCAUGGCCAUGGUGAUCAUUGUGGUUAGCAGGUAAGCGCCUUGAUGUAACCAAAGACAAAGAAAGGUGCAGGCCAAGUCUUUCUUUGAUCAAGCGCUUCAGAUCCAAUGGCUUUGAAUUCGAAAAUCAAGGGAGGGGGGAAAGGAUAAACCAGGGCCUUCCUGUGUGCCUCUACUGCUAUUUAGCCUACAUUGAAAUUUGACACAUCGAACUAAAAUGGCCAGGAAUAAAAAUAUGGUGGACCAGGAAACAAGUGAGACAUUUCAACUCCAGAUUACACUUUUAAAGUCCUCGCACAUGUAAAAGAGUUUAGGUAAUAAAAUCUGUUAUAAAACACCUUGCUGUUCAGUUAGAUGGCAAGAUCUCAACCUGGUACUCGCAGUUACCUUAUAUUCUUAGCGUGGUGAUUAUAAUUUAAAUUCAAAACAACCAACAUGAC